Oenanthe melanoleuca is the source of this 1930-nucleotide long non-coding RNA. RefSeq lists it as uncharacterized. The record is from RefSeq and is a predicted model, not a curated record. The transcript is spliced from 3 exons. NCBI's taxonomy places the organism in Eukaryota, Metazoa, Chordata, Aves, Passeriformes, Muscicapidae.
GUGGCUGGGGGCACUGAUGCCGUGCCCGCCCGGCUCCGGAGCCUCUCUCCCCGGAGCGCAGAUCAGCAGCUGGACUGACAAACCAGUGGGACAGGGAGCUCAUUGGAAGAUCCACGUUGGCAGCCCAGAUUCAAUGGGCUCUCUGAGCUGGCAAAAAAAACUGGAAUGGCUGUCCAUCCCUUUCAGCUCUGCUGGGCAUCUCAGUGCCAGCAGCUCCACAGCACCCACGACACACACUGAACCUCCUGGCUCCUCAACUCCCCUGCAGAGGACACCCAGGGUCUUGUGGCUAGCUUGGUAUGGCUUGGGCAAGAUAUCCAUGUUAAAAAUAUCGCCAUGAGAUUGUCAAGAGAGAGACACUCUUGUGUUGGAGAGACUUUUCAAGGCAGUACUUCAGCUCUGUUAGUCCUUAUCCAACUCAAAAUCUUGGGAUGCAACUUGGGGAUGCACGAGCAAUCACACCAGAUAAUCUGCUGGACCUCCUUCCACCAGUAAGGGCUUAUAAACUUUUCCCCAGUUUCAAGUCUUGACAGAAAAGUAGUUUAAUGCUCAAGUAUUACUCAGUGAACUCAGAUAAAUUGACUUUUGGUCAGGUCCUUUCCACCACAAUAGCCUGCCUAAAACUGCAGAAGCAGAUCUUAAACUGAAGCAUUGAUGUCACCUCUGAACAGCUCAAACCUAAAAGAAGAUAUGUGAGUAUAUAUAUAUAUCAAGAGAUAAAAAAUGUUCCAGUUAUCCGACCUAAUUACAAGCAUAAUCCAAUUGUGUUGUUUCUAUUUUUCUAAGGAAAAAAAAAAAAAAAGAAGAGAUAUUUCUACUCACUUGAAGAAGUGGCAAUCCUAAUACCGCAAAUCUGCACAUUUCUGUAAGAGUCAAAAAUGGAAACUGGAUCUGUAACUGAAAGCUGCAAUUAUCAAGGCUAACCUUUCCUGACUGAGAAACGCAGAAUUAAAGAAGAUAAGAAAUCAAGUUAAGAAAAAAUGUUCAUAAGCUGAAAUAAUUGAAAGAGAGCAAAACAGUUUUUUUUCCCCAGUUGCUAUCCUGCAUGUCAAAAAACCUGCAAAAUCCUAAGGGGGUAGCAAUAAUCCUAUGCUGUAUUUAUUUCUAUUUAUUUAUGAUGACAGUAGACUUUAUUCCAGAACAGUGGUACAUGUGUCAGACACAUCUGGCUCAACAAGGGUAUGAUCCAACACCCAAGGAGCAUAACUAAGAUUAUCCCAUUGACUUCUGUAGGCAUUCCUCCAAGUGCUCCCUCUUGGUGCUGUGUUACUUCCCUUAAUGGAUAAUUCUCAGCUCACAUCUGUGCUCUAAAACGAUGCUGGUGGUACAUAAAGAAUGAGUUUAUUUGCUUUUAUUAUGGUGUAUGUUUCACAUUCUAUCAACAUAAUCCAAGGUUUGAGUUUGAUGUUAAAUAAUCAACCUGUUUAUGGAGGGAAAGUAAGACCUUCCCCCAUGUUUUAAUAAAGCUUUACCACAUAUAUAAAUAACAGGCACAAUUUGUUUCCAUUAGGAAGAUAAGCUUUCUUCAAAGCAGUUCACUGUUUAAGGCUUUAAAUUUUGCCAGCACUUGCACAAGGUUGCAACAAACCUUGACUUAUUUACAGAGAGAUGUUGAGGGGAGAUAAAGUCACUUAAUGAUCCACCAGUUCUUGCUAAAUACAUUUUCCUUCCAUGCCCUCUCUGAAAGCAGGUAGGAUAGUACCAUUCUUUGGCAUAUUCUUAAAAUAAUUGAACUAAAGGUUUUACAGAACAAUUAAACAAAUGGGUCUUAUGGCUUCUCUGACUAAAAUAAUCCUCUAAGAACUUAGGGUUAAAAACAGCAAGAAGAAAGUCCCUAGGCAUUUAUUUGAAAAUAAUUAUGUAGUAAGAAUAGAAAAGGGGACAACAAUAGCAUAAACAAACCAGAAGUUUGAUUUGCUUUGGUGCCUCA